GGUGAAAGGCCCCCUCGCCGUAAGCCCAAGGUUUCCUACGCAACGUUCAUCGGCGUAGGGUGAGUCGGCCCCUAAGGCGAGGCAGAAAUGCGUAGCUGAUGGGAAGCAGAUUAAUAUUUCUGCACCAGUGUGAAAUGCGAUGGGGGGACGGAUCGCGGAAGGUUGUCCGGGUGUUGGAAGUCCCGGUCCUUGCAUUGGAGAAGGCGCUUUGGCAAAUCCGGGCGC
RNAcentral lists this ribosomal RNA (225 nucleotides) under Paraburkholderia sp. 31.1. RNAcentral describes it as "partial 23S ribosomal RNA". It matches the Rfam family "Bacterial large subunit ribosomal RNA", at positions 1320 to 1549 of the family's 2925-position model. The record is from RNAcentral. Lineage: Bacteria; Pseudomonadati; Pseudomonadota; Betaproteobacteria; Burkholderiales; Burkholderiaceae.